This 87-nucleotide transfer RNA is filed under the name Pseudoflavonifractor capillosus ATCC 29799. It matches the Rfam family "tRNA". Rfam says of the family: Transfer RNA (tRNA) molecules are approximately 80 nucleotides in length. Their secondary structure includes four short double-helical elements and three loops (D, anti-codon, and T loops). Further hydrogen bonds mediate the characteristic L-shaped molecular structure. tRNAs have two regions of fundamental functional importance: the anti-codon, which is responsible for specific mRNA codon recognition, and the 3' end, to which the tRNAs corresponding amino acid is attached (by aminoacyl-tRNA synthetases). tRNAs cope with the degeneracy of the genetic code in two manners: having more than one tRNA (with a specific anti-codon) for a particular amino acid; and 'wobble' base-pairing, i.e. permitting non-standard base-pairing at the 3rd anti-codon position. The record is from Rfam by way of RNAcentral. Lineage: Bacteria; Bacillati; Bacillota; Clostridia; Eubacteriales; Oscillospiraceae.
GGCGAGGUGUCCGAGUGGUUUAAGGAUCCAGUCUUGAAAACUGGCGCCCCAUUUCUGGGGCCGUGGGUUCGAAUCCCACUCUCGCCG